GUUACGGCGUGCUAUACAUGCAAGUCGAACGAACUCUGGUAUUGAUUGGUGCUUGCAUCAUGAUUUACAUUUGAGUGAGUGGCGAACUGGUGAGUAACACGUGGGAAACCUGCCCAGAAGCGGGGGAUAACACCUGGAAACAGAUGCUAAUACCGCAUAACAACUUGGACCGCAUGGUCCGAGCUUGAAAGAUGGCUUCGGCUAUCACUUUUGGAUGGUCCCGCGGCGUAUUAGCUAGAUGGUGGGGUAACGGCUCACCAUGGCAAUGAUACGUAGCCGACCUGAGAGGGUAAUCGGCCACAUUGGGACUGAGACACGGCCCAAACUCCUACGGGAGGCAGCAGUAGGGAAUCUUCCACAAUGGACGAAAGUCUGAUGGAGCAACGCCGCGUGAGUGAAGAAGGGUUUCGGCUCGUAAAACUCUGUUGUUAAAGAAGAACAUAUCUGAGAGUAACUGUUCAGGUAUUGACGGUAUUUAACCAGAAAGCCACGGCUAACUACGUGCCAGCAGCCGCGGUAAUACGUAGGUGGCAAGCGUUGUCCGGAUUUAUUGGGCGUAAAGCGAGCGCAGGCGGUUUUUUAAGUCUGAUGUGAAAGCCUUCGGCUCAACCGAAGAAGUGCAUCGGAAACUGGGAAACUUGAGUGCAGAAGAGGACAGUGGAACUCCAUGUGUAGCGGUGAAAUGCGUAGAUAUAUGGAAGAACACCAGUGGCGAAGGCGGCUGUCUGGUCUGUAACUGACGCUGAGGCUCGAAAGUAUGGGUAGCAAACAGGAUUAGAUACCCUGGUAGUCCAUACCGUAAACGAUGAAUGCUAAGUGUUGGAGGGUUUCCGCCCUUCAGUGCUGCAGCUAACGCAUUAAGCAUUCCGCCUGGGGAGUACGGCCGCAAGGCUGAAACUCAAAGGAAUUGACGGGGGCCCGCACAAGCGGUGGAGCAUGUGGUUUAAUUCGAAGCUACGCGAAGAACCUUACCAGGUCUUGACAUACUAUGCAAAUCUAAGAGAUUAGACGUUCCCUUCGGGGACAUGGAUACAGGUGGUGCAUGGUUGUCGUCAGCUCGUGUCGUGAGAUGUUGGGUUAAGUCCCGCAACGAGCGCAACCCUUAUUAUCAGUUGCCAGCAUUAAGUUGGGCACUCUGGUGAGACUGCCGGUGACAAACCGGAGGAAGGUGGGGAUGACGUCAAAUCAUCAUGCCCCUUAUGACCUGGGCUACACACGUGCUACAAUGGAUGGUACAACGAGUUGCGAACUCGCGAGAGUAAGCUAAUCUCUUAAAGCCAUUCUCAGUUCGGAUUGUAGGCUGCAACUCGCCUACAUGAAGUCGGAAUCGCUAGUAAUCGCGGAUCAGCAUGCCGCGGUGAAUACGUUCCCGGGCCUUGUACACACCGCCCGUCACACCAUGAGAGUUUGUAACACCCAAAGUCGGUGGGGUAACCUUUUAGGAACCAGCCGCCUAAGGUGACAAUGAUGG
This 1471-nucleotide ribosomal RNA is filed under the name Lactiplantibacillus plantarum. RNAcentral's name for it is "bacterial SSU rRNA". It matches the Rfam family "Bacterial small subunit ribosomal RNA". The record is from RNAcentral. Lineage: Bacteria; Bacillati; Bacillota; Bacilli; Lactobacillales; Lactobacillaceae.